UACGGGAACUCGGUACCUGUCCCUAUCGAGUAUCGACUCCUUCCCAUCCUCCCCCAAUCUCCGCUCGUCCUCCUCCUCUCGCCACCGCCGGCCAUGGGGGAAACUCGCCACAUCAAGGCUUUGCCUCCUCUCUCUCUCUCUCUUUCUCUUUCGGCCGCUGGUCUUUAGCUGUUCUAAUCUGUUGUCAGGGCUGCUUACUGCAUAUGGUGUUGCCUUACCAGGAACGAAUCAGGAAAUUUUCAUGUCUUACAAGGUCAAAGUCAGCAAACACAGAAUGAUAAAAUCAAAUGGCUUGAGGAAGAUUUUUUUGUUGAACUCAAUAUGAUGCAGAAGUUUGUUACAGGAGGCUGCUGGUACCUAUCAUAUUACCACCCACAACUUCAUCUCAGAAGGUUCAUUUGUCAGGCACAUCUUCUCAUAGUUUGUGGAAGGUGGUAUACAAAGUGACUAAGAUUUUCAAAAAUAAUAAAAGAAAAACUUUGCCAAUCCUAUUGUUUCAAGUUCAACAGACUAUUGCCUGCUUUUGAGAUAUUAAAAGGCAAGAUGAUAUUGUCGAGAAUACAACUGAUUUCCCAUCUCAAGUAUAUCAUGGCUGUGUGGAACUGUGAUAACAAGUAUGGAUUUUGUUAUUAAUGGUGUUUUGGUGCAUUAAGCACACCAAAGCUCUUAUCACCGAUGCUGUAGGUCUUGAAACAAAUUGGUGCAAGGUCAAGGUCGUGGAAAGCCAUGCCUUCAGACAGAUUAAUGGUAGCUCGUAGCCAGGAUUUUGGGUAAAAUUCUUCAAUUCAGUGAGCUUUGAGUUUCGUUGUUUAUUUAAUUAUUUUCUGUAGAGGGCCAUUGGUUUUGUUGUCUGAUCAGCUUCAGGUAUGUGGGUGAGGCUGCUUCGUUUUGGCUUAAGAAUGUGGGACUGGUUUGAUUAUUUACACAUCUUCAAUUUCUUAUGUUCUGUCUUCAGAAACAGAAUAUAAUAUCAGGAUUUUUUAAAAGAAAA
Long non-coding RNA from Phoenix dactylifera (date palm), 991 nucleotides. RefSeq lists it as uncharacterized. Lineage: Eukaryota; Viridiplantae; Streptophyta; Magnoliopsida; Arecales; Arecaceae. The record is from RefSeq and is a predicted model, not a curated record.